UAUGGAUGUGAUGAGUUAGGAUUACCGCCCCAGUCUGAAGAGUCAUGAUUGAUUGGUAUUCUCUGAUCCAUA
Molecule: small nucleolar RNA, 72 nt
Organism: Paramisgurnus dabryanus
Lineage: Eukaryota; Metazoa; Chordata; Actinopteri; Cypriniformes; Cobitidae
Source: RefSeq, a predicted model, not a curated record